GGACAUCAGAGGAAUAUACAAAAAGGGGGCUAGAAGAGUCUACAGAGGAGGAGGUUCCAGUAUUUGUACUAGAAGCCAUAAUCAGUGAACCGGCUUAAAAAUUUCAACAAACAGAGUACAACCAAACCAGAUAUUCACACAUAAAACCAAAUACUCACAUACGGAGUCAGAUAAUCACACACAAAGCAUACAAUACUCAAGAUAAAGAUAGAGUUACCCUCCUUCUUCGCGACCGGAGAAGAUCGGCCUUAAACGAUAGAGAAAACCCUAUGUACAAAACUCUAGGUGUAACCAUCAAAAUCCUUACUGGAAGUGUGGUCAGUGAUGUCGGAAAGGCACCCAAAACAUCCACUGAGUGAGAAUCGAGCCACCGGAAAGCAGUAAAACUCUAGGUUAAACCACCAGAAACCCUAGAAGAUAUACUCAUAUAUCACGAAGAAAAUCUCAGAAAAGCAUCCGAUUUAGGUCGGAAUCAUCAUUGACCAUAAGGUCUCAGAAACACCCCCAAAAAUCUCGAAACAGACUUCAUCCAAGACAACGAGAUACAGAUAAACACAGUCGGAUCGUCGUCUAGG
This 575-nucleotide long non-coding RNA is filed under the name Nicotiana benthamiana. Its description in RNAcentral is "long non-coding RNA (NBEN_LNC020862)". Lineage: Eukaryota; Viridiplantae; Streptophyta; Magnoliopsida; Solanales; Solanaceae. The record is from RNAcentral.